CAUCUAAAGCUAAAUACCGGCCGGAGACCGAUAGCGCACAAGUAGAGUGAUCGAAAGAUGAAAAGCACUUUGGAAAGAGAGUCAAACAGCACGUGAAAUUGUUGAAAGGGAAGCGCUGGCCCCCAGACCUGCCCCGCGGGCGAUCCCCCGAGGCGAUAAAGCCACGGGGGGUACUCUCCCGCGCGCAGGCCAGCACGGGUUCGGGCGGCGGGACAAAGCGCCCGGGAAUGUAGCUCCCUCCGGGGAGCCUUAUAGCCCGGGCGGUCAUGCCGCCCGCCCGGACCGAGGACCGCGCUUCGGCGAGGGUGCUGGCGUAAUGGGGGUCAGCGACCCGUCUUGAAACACGGACCAAGGAGUCUAACGUCCCCGCGAGUGUUCGGGCGUCAAACCCCCGGCGCGGAAUGAAAGUGAACGGAGGUGGGAGCCCCGCGAGGGGCGCACCAUCGACCGAUCCAGAUGUCUUCGGAUGGAUUUGAGUACGAGCGCGGCCGUUGGGACCCGAAAGAUGGUGAACUAUGCCUGGGUAGGGUGAAGCCAGAGGAAACUCUGGUGGAGGCUCGCAGCGGUUCUGACGUGCAAAUCGAUCGUCAAACCUGGGCAUAGGGGCGAAAGACUAAUCGAACCAUCUAGUAGCUGGUUCCUGUCGAAGUUUCCCUCAGGAUAGCAGUCGCGCGGGCGGUUUUAUGAGGUAAAGCGAAUGAUUAGAGGCCUUGGGGGUGCAACACCCUUAACCUAUUCUCAAACUUUAAAUAUGUAAGAAGCCCCUGUUGCUUCGGUGAACGGGGGCGCGCGAACGCGGCGCGGCUAGUGGGCCAUUUUUGGUAAGCAGAACUGGCGAUGCGGGAUGAACCGAACGCGGGGUUAAGGUGCCGGAAUGCACGCUCAUCAGACACCACAAAAGAUGUCAAUUCAUCCGGACAGCCGGACGGUGGCCAUGGAAGCCGGAACCCGCCAAGGAGUGCGUAACAGCUCACCGGCCGAAUGAAUUGGCUUGAAAAUGGAUGGCGCUCAAGCGUGCUACCCAUACCCCGCCGCCGGGGCAAAAGCGAUGCCCCGGCGAGU
RNAcentral lists this ribosomal RNA (1062 nucleotides) under Leptogium papillosum. Its description in RNAcentral is "eukaryotic LSU rRNA". It matches the Rfam family "Eukaryotic large subunit ribosomal RNA", at positions 307 to 1382 of the family's 3401-position model. Lineage: Eukaryota; Fungi; Ascomycota; Lecanoromycetes; Peltigerales; Collemataceae. The record is from RNAcentral.